GCGUGGGUAACCUGCCUCACACUGGGGGAUAACAGUUAGAAAUAGCUGCUAAUACCGCGUAAGCGCACAGUUCUGCAUGGAACGGUGUGAAAAACUCCGGUGGUGUGAGAUGGACCCGCGUCUGAUUAGCCAGUUGGCGGGGUAACGGCCCACCAAAGCGACGAUCAGUAGCCGGCCUGAGAGGGUGAACGGCCACAUUGGGACUGAGACACGGCCCAAACUCCUACGGGAGGCAGCAGUGGGGAAUAUUGCACAAUGGGGGAAACCCUGAUGCAGCGACGCCGCGUGAGUGAAGAAGUAUUUCGGUAUGUAAAGCUCUAUCAGCAGGGAAGAAAGUGACGGUACCUGAAUAAGAAGCCCCGGCUAACUACGUGCCAGCAGCCGCGGUAAUACGUAGGGGGCAAGCGUUAUCCGGAUUUACUGGGUGUAAAGGGAGCGUAGACGGCAAGGCAAGUCUGAAGUGAAAGCCCGGUGCUUAACGCCGGGACUGCUUUGGAAACUGUUUAGCUGGAGUGCCGGAGAGGUAAGCGGAAUUCCUAGUGUAGCGGUGAAAUGCGUAGAUAUUAGGAAGAACACCAGUGGCGAAGGCGGCUUACUGGACGGUAACUGACGUUGAGGCUCGAAAGCGUGGGGAGCAAACAGGAUUAGAUACCCUGGUAGUCCACGCCGUAAACGAUGAUUGCUAGGUGUAGGUGGGUAUGGACCCAUCGGUGCCGCAGCUAACGCAAUAAGCAAUCCACCUGGGGAGUACGUUCGCA
Molecule: ribosomal RNA, 758 nt
Filed under: uncultured bacterium
Lineage: Bacteria
Description: bacterial SSU rRNA
Rfam family: Bacterial small subunit ribosomal RNA
Source: RNAcentral